CCUUGUUUACCUCGACGUUCAGAGCACUGAGCACAAUGAUGGCUUUUGAUUAGGUUUCCAGAUUACUUUCAGGCGUAAUAGCACAAAUGGAUCAGUGAGCAGAGGUAUAGUAGAAACAAAACUAAGGUGUACCUUGAGUCUGGAAGUCUGAUCCUUAGGGGAAGGAACUCGAUGGCACUCUGAGGACAAUACUUAUAUGAAGCUAACAUCACUGCUUGAAUGGGAAGGAGAAAGAUAGGAGUGAAGGCAAUGGAAACACACAGCUUUAUAGCAAAGCAUUAUCUCUAUUACCUUAUGUAGCUGCUUUCAGUGUGUGUAUUUAGGAGGUGAAACUUGAAGAAAUCAGAGGAUUUGUUUGCCCAAGGAAGGUUUUUAACAUCACCAUGUUACAAUCUCUCUUCAUUUUUCUUAAGAAUAUAAAAAUAACAAACUGAGUAUUAAGCAAGUUUGCUAAGAUAUUUGGG
Molecule: long non-coding RNA, 464 nt
Filed under: Homo sapiens (human)
Lineage: Eukaryota; Metazoa; Chordata; Mammalia; Primates; Hominidae
Description: HSALNT0352989
Source: RNAcentral